UAAUCCAUUUUCUUUCCUGAUCAUUAAUUUUUUUAUUUGAAUAACUGACCCAUUGUUUCUCAUUUAAUAUAUUUUAAUUAAUACACCGUCUAGGUUGCUGAUUUGAAAUAUUCUGUAAGCUUUAUUCUACUAGAGCAAUCUGAAGAAAAUGAAGACUUAUUUGUUGCUACUGUCAAUCUUUUCACUGUUGCUGCUCGUUAUCAGCCUGCUUUUUUUAUUGUUGUAUUUGCCACCAAAGAGUUUAUGGACGUCCAACUAGGUAAUGCUAGUGAUGGGAAGCUGCCAGCAAUUGAGGUUUCCUCUGGGCCAGUAGAGUCUAAAAGUUCAAGCCUUGUAGAUGCAGUACUUUGUUAUGUUGUAAAUUCUGACAGUCAUAUCAAUAAGAAUGUUUUGUGUUGAAAGUAGUAACUUUUAACUAUGUUGAAUAUUUAAGACUCCUUGAAUACUUAAAGAAUAUUUUGUAUGUUUUAAACUAAUUUGUGGAUUGUUAAUACAAUGUUGAAUGUUUUUACUU
Molecule: long non-coding RNA, 514 nt
Organism: Humulus lupulus (European hop)
Lineage: Eukaryota; Viridiplantae; Streptophyta; Magnoliopsida; Rosales; Cannabaceae
Exons: 2
Source: RefSeq, a predicted model, not a curated record